Molecule: ribosomal RNA, 253 nt
Filed under: uncultured bacterium
Lineage: Bacteria
Description: partial 16S ribosomal RNA
Rfam family: Bacterial small subunit ribosomal RNA
Source: RNAcentral
UACGUAGGGGGCUAGCGUUGUCCGGAUUUAUUGGGCGUAAAGAGCGUGUAGGCGGCCAAGUAGGUCCGGUGUGAAAACUCGAGGCUUAACCUCGAGAUGUCAUCGGAAACCAUUUGGCUAGAGUCCGGAAGAGGAAAGUGGAAUUCCUGGUGUAGCGGUGAAAUGCGUAGAUAUUGGGAGGAACACCGGUGGCGAAGGCGACCCUCUGGACCGGUACUGACACUGAUGCGCGAAAGCGUGGGGAGCAAACGGG